AGGGAAUCUUCCGCAAUGGACGAAAGUCUGACGGAGCAACGCCGCGUGAGUGAUGAAGGUUUUCGGAUCGUAAAGCUCUGUUGCCAGGGAAGAACGUCUUGGAGAGUAACUGCUCUGAGAGUGACGGUACCUGAGAAGAAAGCCCCGGCUAACUACGUGCCAGCAGCCGCGGUAAUACGUAGGGGGCGAGCGUUGUCCGGAAUUAUUGGGCGUAAAGCGCGCGCAGGCGGCUGUUUAAGUCUGGUGUAUAAUCCUGGGGCUCAACUCCGGGUCGCACUGGAAACUGGAUGGCUUGAGUGCAGAAGAGGAGAGUGGAAUUCCACGUGUAGCGGUGAAAUGCGUAGAGAUGUGGAGGAACACCAGUGGCGAGGGCGACUCUCUGGGCUGUAACUGACGCUGAGGCGCGAAAGCGUGGGGAGCAAAC
This 424-nucleotide ribosomal RNA is filed under the name uncultured bacterium. RNAcentral's name for it is "bacterial SSU rRNA". It matches the Rfam family "Bacterial small subunit ribosomal RNA", at positions 356 to 773 of the family's 1533-position model. The record is from RNAcentral.